GGAGGAUCCGAGCGUNAUCCGGAUNUAUNGGGUNUAAAGGGAGCGUAGAUGGAUGNNUAAGCCAGUNGUGAAAGNUUGCGGCUCAACCGUAAAAUNGCAGUNGAUACUGGAUGUCUUGAGUGCAGUUGAGGCAGGCGGAAUUCGUGGUGUAGCGGUGAAAUGCUUAGAUAUCACGAAGAACUCCAAUNGCGAAGGCAGCUCACUGGAGCGCAACUGACGCUGAAGCUCGAAAGUGCGGGUAUCGAACAGGAUUAGAUACCCUGGUAGUCCGCACGGUAAACGAUGGAUGCCCGCUGUUGGUCUGAAUAAGUCAGCGGCCAGGCGAAAGCAUUAAGCAUCCCACCUGGGGAGU
This 352-nucleotide ribosomal RNA is filed under the name uncultured bacterium. Its description in RNAcentral is "partial 16S ribosomal RNA". It matches the Rfam family "Bacterial small subunit ribosomal RNA", at positions 527 to 881 of the family's 1533-position model. The record is from RNAcentral.